GCGCCCAUAGCUCAGUUGGUAGAGCACCUGCCUUUUAAGCAGAGGGUCGCAGGUUCGAUUCCUGCUGGGCGCA
Molecule: transfer RNA, 73 nt
Filed under: Candidatus Tayloriibacteriota bacterium
Lineage: Bacteria; Candidatus Tayloriibacteriota
Description: tRNA-Lys
Rfam family: tRNA
About the family: Transfer RNA (tRNA) molecules are approximately 80 nucleotides in length. Their secondary structure includes four short double-helical elements and three loops (D, anti-codon, and T loops).
Source: RNAcentral